UACGAAGGGGGCUAGCGUUGUUCGGAAUUACUGGGCGUAAAGCGCACGUAGGCGGAUUUGUAAGUCAGGGGUGAAAUCCCGGGGCUCAACCUCGGAACUGCCUUUGAUACUGCAAGUCUCGAGUCCGAUAGAGGUGAGUGGAAUUCCUAGUGUAGAGGUGAAAUUCGUAGAUAUUAGGAAGAACACCAGUGGCGAAGGCGACAUACUGGUCCGUUACUGACGCUGAGGCUCGAAAGCGUGGGGAGCAAACAGG
RNAcentral lists this ribosomal RNA (253 nucleotides) under uncultured bacterium. Its description in RNAcentral is "partial 16S ribosomal RNA". It matches the Rfam family "Bacterial small subunit ribosomal RNA", at positions 524 to 776 of the family's 1533-position model. The record is from RNAcentral.